Molecule: long non-coding RNA, 577 nt
Organism: Pistacia vera
Lineage: Eukaryota; Viridiplantae; Streptophyta; Magnoliopsida; Sapindales; Anacardiaceae
Exons: 3
Source: RefSeq, a predicted model, not a curated record
GCUAUCUAUCAUAUGUUUGAGUACUAAAAUCUGUUGUCCCUUUAAUUUAAAUAAUGUAGCUCAAGGCCCUAAAAUAUGGUGCUGCUCCAGUUUCAGUGGCCUCGGAUGAUAUCAGAUUCAGGCAUUUUCUAGAUAUUGAGACCACUAAAUUUUCACAGUUUAUCAACUCUACCUUCGGAAAUAUGACCCUAAGCCAGGCUUUGAACGAAAUUAAGAACAGCCCAUCUACAUGGAAGCAAAAAAUCAUCGAUGCCAUGUCACGAGACUUCUCGUGGGACGCAGAAUGCUGCAACAUUCAUAUUUCUGCAUACUCAGCCCUAAAGAAUUUGUAAAUCCCCGAACAGGUUUGCAUGUAUAUAUGUAUAUAUCAAUGAAGGCGUCGAUCAUUAGUAUAGCUACAAAUUUUGAGGUUGGCAUAAGUUGUGUCUCCAUGCAUAAGGGGCGGGCAGCAUGGCAUUUAAUUGCCAUUUCAGUAGCUUGAAGGGAAUAAGGUAGAAUAAUAAGUUGCAGGUAUUAAUCCUUCAAUUGUAUAGCCUUUUUAAGUGUAGUAAAUACUAUAUAAUCAUGUACUAUUGCA